RNAcentral lists this ribosomal RNA (253 nucleotides) under uncultured bacterium. RNAcentral's name for it is "partial 16S ribosomal RNA". It matches the Rfam family "Bacterial small subunit ribosomal RNA", at positions 524 to 776 of the family's 1533-position model. The record is from RNAcentral.
UACGGAGGGCGCAAGCGUUGUUCGGAAUUACUGGGCGUAAAGCGCGUGUAGGUGGCCUGGCAAGUCGGGUGUGAAAUCCCGGAGCUCAACUCCGGAACUGCAUCCGAUACUGCCAAGCUCGAGUCUCGGAGAGGAUGGCGGAAUUUCCGGUGUAGAGGUGAAAUUCGUAGAUAUCGGAAGGAACACCAGUGGCGAAGGCGGCCGUCUGGACGAUGACUGACACUGAGAAGCGAAAGCGUGGGGAGCAAACAGG